CCCUUAGAUGUUCUGGGCCGCACACGCGCUACACUGAAGGAGGCAGCGUGUACUCCUGGAUCGAAAGAUUUGGGUAACCCGCGAAUCUCCUUCGUGCUAGGGAUUGAGGUUUGCAAUUAUCCUUCAUGAACGAGGAAUUCCCAGUAAGUGCAAGUCAUAAGCUUGCGUUGAUUACGUCCCUGCCCUUUGUACACACCGCCCGUCGCUCCUACCGAUUGAAUGGUCCGGUGAAGCGUUCGGACCGUGGCCUUUGGACGGUUCGCCGUCUGUUGGCUGCGGGAAGUUCGUUAAACCUUAUCAUUUAGAGGAAGGAGAAGUCGUAACA
Molecule: ribosomal RNA, 325 nt
Filed under: uncultured eukaryote
Lineage: Eukaryota
Description: partial 18S ribosomal RNA
Rfam family: Eukaryotic small subunit ribosomal RNA
Source: RNAcentral